GCAGUGAGCCAGACGACCGCCCCGAGCGAGGCGCGAAGCGCCGAGCCGAGGGGAGGAAAGUCCGAACUCCGCAGGGCAGUGCGCCGGGUAACGCCCGGUCGGGGCAACUCGAAGGACAGUGGCACAGAAAACAUACCGCUCCGAUGGCGACCCUAAAAGGGUCGCCCCACACGGUGGCGCGGGGCUUUCAGGCCCGCGAUCGAAGUAAGGGUGAAAAGGUGCGGUAAGAGCGCACCGCGCCCGUGGCAACACGGGUGGCAGGCAAAACCCCGCACGGAGCAAGACCAAAUAGGAAGGCGACCCGGCGCUCGAUGCGCCGGGGAAAACAAGGAUGGCCCGUCCGACGCCUUCGGGUAGGUCGCUUGACGUCGCCAGCGAUGGCGACGCUAGAGGAAUGGUCGUCAUCCGUUGUCGCUCGUAUGAGCGACGGCGGGCACAGAAUUCGGCUUACGGCUCACUGCGAAA
RNAcentral lists this RNase P RNA (465 nucleotides) under Acidobacteriota bacterium. Its description in RNAcentral is "Acidobacteria bacterium RNase P RNA component class A". It matches the Rfam family "Bacterial RNase P class A". Rfam says of the family: Ribonuclease P (RNase P) is a ubiquitous endoribonuclease, found in archaea, bacteria and eukarya as well as chloroplasts and mitochondria. Its best characterised activity is the generation of mature 5'-ends of tRNAs by cleaving the 5'-leader elements of precursor-tRNAs. The record is from RNAcentral. Lineage: Bacteria; Pseudomonadati; Acidobacteriota.